RNAcentral lists this long non-coding RNA (1016 nucleotides) under Anolis carolinensis (green anole). RNAcentral's name for it is "lncRNA (ENSACAG00000038590.1)". The record is from RNAcentral. Lineage: Eukaryota; Metazoa; Chordata; Lepidosauria; Squamata; Anolidae.
GUUCAGUGUGGGAGAAAGAACUCUUGUCUGCCUGAGGCAAGUGUGAAUGUUGAAACUGACCAGCUUGAUUAGCAUUGAAUGGACUUGCAGCUUCAAAGCCUAGCUGCUUCCUGCCCAGGGAGAAUUCUUUGUUGGGAGGUGUUAACUGACCCUCAUUGUUUCUUGUCUGGUUAACACCACCCAUCCCAACAAAGGAUUCUCCCAGCCAUGAAGCAGCCAGGCUUUGAAGCUGCAGGUCUACUCAAUGCUAUCAAGCUGGCCAAUUACAACAUUCACACUUGCCUCAUGUGGACAAGAAUGUGGACAAUUUUAACAAAAAGGAGGAUGCCAUGAAGAUGAACAAAAUCUGGCUAUCAGUAUUUUAAAAGCUCUAAAAUUAGAACAGUAAAUAAAGAGCAAGACUCAAAAAGAAGGGGAAUUCAAGACAAGAAUCAAUUGGGGCCAGCUAACACCUCCCAACAAAAGAUUCCCCCAGGCAGCUACCGGCCAGACUUUGAAACUGUGGGCCAUUAAAAUGUUUGUCGAAGGCUUUCAUGGCCAGACUCACAGCAACCCAUUAAUCAAAGUGGCAAAUUGCAACAUUCACACCUACCUCAAGCAGGCAAGAGUUCUUUCCCCCACCCUGGACAUUCCACAGAUAUAUAAACCUCACUUACUUAGUUUCCAACAGACCCCUCAACCUCUGAGGAUGCCUGCCAUCGAUGUGGGAAAAACAUUAGAAGAGAAUGCUUCUGGAACAUGGCCAUACAGAUCAGAAAACUCAGAACAAUUCAGACUCUCACCCUGAACAUUCCACAGAUAUAGAAACCCACUUGCCUAGUUUUCAAGAGACCCCAAAUCUCUGAGGAUACCUGUUAAAGAUGCAGGUGAAACGACAGGAGAGAAUGCUUCUGGAACAUGGCCAUACAGCCCGGAAAACUCACAGCAAGCUAGUGAUUCCAGCCAUGAAAGCCUUUGACAACACAUUGAUCAAUACAUUGCUUUUCCCUUAGUGUGAAAAAAAUGAAGGGGAAAAG